CAAGAGACUGUAUGAUGCGAGAGUUCGGAAUCAGACACUUGAGGAAGGUGAUCGGGUGCUGGUUCGGAAUCUGGGCCUCACAGGAAAGCACAAACUACAAGACAGAUGGAACUCACUACCUUACAUAGUGAUCGCCAAGUUACCCAAUCUCCCUGUGUAUCGUGUAAAACCAGAGAGAGGAACUGGUAUUGUGAGGACCGUGCAUAGGGAUCACCUGCUGCCCAUUGGUUACAUGGUCAGGAUGUCUGCUCCAUCAGAAAAGACAGCGAGACCAAGGACCAGGGCACAGCAAGUAAGGUGUGAAGAUGAAAGUCAGACACAAAAUUUGGAGCAUCUGAGUGAAGAUGAUUGGUCCUCAGAGUCUGAAGAACAGUGUGUCUACUAUGAACCUCCUUUAGCCUUUCGCGACAGUGUUGAACCUCGACGUGAGGAGGUUGUGAGCCUUCCUGACCAUAUGGAAAGUGAUCAUCCCAGUGUUCAUGAAUUGUCCGAGGUGGAGGAACAGGGGGAAGAACUCUCAGUAGUAGUAGAUCAGACGGAGGAAAGUUCACAGCAACACCAAGACUUGGUGGAGGCUGAAGAGCUGGAGGACAGAGAUGUUCCUACACCUAGUAUCUCAGUUGGGGGUGCUGACUCAACCUAUGACCUCCAAACAAAAAGGAGAGUGAGACCUGUUUUGCACCUCAGUUAUGAUGAACUUGGAAGGCCCACUGACAGACCUGUGACUAUUAGUUACCGAGGUAUGGUAAUUCAGAUUUGCUACGACCCUGACUCCUAAAUGUUAAUGCCCUAGCCAGUACUCUUUAGUGAGAUUUUAACUGGCCUAAUGAAAAUAGGUCUGAUGGGGACAUUCAGACAUUCAGAAGGGGGAGGGUGUAGCCCUGGCUAUAUAAGUAGCUCAUUAUUUCAAUUUGUUCAUUAAUAUUGAUAGUUAAUUGCAAAUGUUUAAUGUGUUCAAGAAUGUAUACCUGCAAAGUAUGUGAUGUGUGUCAGUUAAAUGCACAACCUUUUUAUUUGUAUUUUGAGGUUUAUGUCAUUAUUUUUGAUAUGGUAUUGAUAUGUACUACAGCUCCAGUGAACCCUGAAGUAGUCUCAGGUAGAGGGGUGGGAGUAAGUGGGGAGCCGUGUGCACUCUGCAGGAAGCGAGAGAGACGAGAGCUGAACAGUGUCGAGUGAACGCAGAGUUCUUAAAGGGCGACAGACGCAUUUUCGGGUUGACGGAUAGUUAACUGGAGUCGAGAACUGUUGUACCCUUCUGUGAGGUAAAUGUGGAUUUUGUCUGACACUUGUAUCCAAUGUUAUUGUGUAAAACGGAUUAGCGCUAACACAGCCGCUAGCACAACUGCUAACAUAGCUGCUAGCAUAGCCUAGCAUAUUCGCUAAGCUCUUGUUCUGCUCUGUUUUUAUUUAUUAAGCUAAUGCUAAGAUUGAAUGUUAUCACAUGUGAACUGGCAUUUAGUGGAGUUGUGUGAUUCAGUAGGAGGAGACGGACGUCUUGCUGGUGUGUCAGAGAGGUCCCUUCUGCUGGUGUGCUGAAGUUAUGUGUUCACGUGGGAGCACGUGGAAAGGACGACUGUGAGUGCUGCUGCCACUGCCUGCUGAAUGAAUGCAGUACCAUAAGUGAGUUCUGUUAUGCUGUUAUUGAGGCUCGAAGCAGCGUAGCAU
This is a long non-coding RNA of Astatotilapia calliptera (eastern happy), 1665 nucleotides long. NCBI's taxonomy places the organism in Eukaryota, Metazoa, Chordata, Actinopteri, Cichliformes, Cichlidae. The record is from Ensembl.